AUGAGAGAACGGAGCGAGCGGCAAGGUGACACGAGAGCCGCCCUCCUCCCUCCCGCCCAGGCAGCGAGCCCUCCGCCUCGGGGCCGCCGGAGCCGAGCCCCUCCCGCUGCCCGCGGGCAGCUCCCGAGCUCCCUCACCGCUCUCUCCUCGGGGCCGUUUCUCCGCGUCGCUGCCUCUGGUAAUAAGCCGAGGACAGGGGCGAGCCGCCGCUCGAGGCUCCGCUGCCGCUCUUCCCCUUCAGCCGAGCGGGGUGCGCGGCUCCGUCCGGCCCGGCCUGAGGUGAGGCCCUGCUCCCGCCGGAGCCCCUCCGCUGCGGCGCGGGGAGCGCCGGGCCCGCCUGUCCCCUCCGCCCCGGCUCUGCUGCACCUGCCGCGCUGCCGGGCUGUCCCUGCGGCGCGUGCCGAGGAGAGGAGAAGGCACUCUCUCUCCGUCCUCCCUCAACUUCUCAUCACUUUCCUCCGCCCCCGCUCGGCCCCACCGCGCUGCCGACCCGGCGCCCGCCCGCCCGCCGGACGCAUGCACCGGCGCCGCCGUCGACCCUCCGGAGAUGCCCUCGGGCACACAGGGAGCGGUCGCCCCUCGGCCCUGCACCUCGCCGGCACAGAGAGCUGCUGUCCCGCUCUCCGGGCGCCCUCCCGCCCCAUGCACUGCCCGGCUCCCAGGACGGCGGCGAGCUGCCGGCGGGGCAGGUGCCCUGUGCCCGCCUCUCGCGGGUGGGACCCGGCCGCGCUCCGCCAAUCAGUCCGUCAAUCUGGCGGGGAGGCCGCGGCCGUGCGAGGUGAGCCCGGAGCCGAAUUACUAAUGAUUUCCAAACUGCGUGCGCGAGUAAUAGCAUCUAGAGCCAUUCUUACCCUCCUGAAAAGAAGGAGGAAGACCUUCAGUACGAGGCUUUUUUUUAUGCUCAGGCUGUAA
This 912-nucleotide long non-coding RNA is filed under the name Numida meleagris (helmeted guineafowl). Its description in RNAcentral is "lncRNA (ENSNMEG00000001283.1)". The record is from RNAcentral. Lineage: Eukaryota; Metazoa; Chordata; Aves; Galliformes; Numididae.